GACAGAGGUUGCAAACGUUGUUCGGAAUUACUGGGCGUAAAGGGCUCGUAGGUGGCCAACUAAGUCAGACGUGAAAUCCCUCAGCUUAACUGGGGAACUGCGUCUGAUACUGGAUGGCUUGAGUUUGGGAGAGGGAUGCGGAAUUCCAGGUGUAGCGGUGAAAUGCGUAGAUAUCUGGAGGAACACCGGUGGCGAAGGCGGCAUCCUGGACCAACACUGACACUGAGGAGCGAAAGCCAGGGGAGCAAACGGG
RNAcentral lists this ribosomal RNA (253 nucleotides) under uncultured bacterium. RNAcentral describes it as "partial 16S ribosomal RNA". It matches the Rfam family "Bacterial small subunit ribosomal RNA", at positions 524 to 776 of the family's 1533-position model. The record is from RNAcentral.